Long non-coding RNA from Megalobrama amblycephala (Wuchang bream), 585 nucleotides. RefSeq lists it as uncharacterized. The transcript is spliced from 2 exons. NCBI's taxonomy places the organism in Eukaryota, Metazoa, Chordata, Actinopteri, Cypriniformes, Xenocyprididae. The record is from RefSeq and is a predicted model, not a curated record.
AUGGAGAAAGACUACAGCUCCGGGCGAAGGUUAAACAACCUCUUCCGACUAGCAAAUUUAGUGCAAGCGUGUAUGAAAACUACAGGUUGUAUGAAAUAAAAUGGAGCUUCCAACUUCACCUGUCCACAAAAGCAUGGUAUUGCAGUAUUUGCCCUCACCUUCAAGUCUCUGCACUGCGACUGGAGCCAGUCGUUGAUGAAACCCUGCGGGUCUCGUGCAAAGCUCAACAUGAACUCCCUUUGAGUCUUCAACUGGUUAAUAGUUUCAAUGGUCUCAUGGAUCUGAGGGAACAAGCAAACAUGUGUGAGGGAUCAUGUUUAACAUUUUAAUUACACAACAAUUAGUUCUGCUUCACUACUUUGGAUUGUAAUAAAAUAUUAACUUUGUUAUUGAACUGCAGUAUGAGAGCAAUCACACUCAAUCUUGCCAAACAUCAUUGAGGUUUUAUUGUAGUCUGAGCUUUCAUUAACACAAACUGUCACAAAAUACAAAGUUCAAACAUUGACUGUGAAGGACAGAGAUUUGGACUGUUGCAAACUAACUAGUGAGCCAACUGGGUCAAAGGGGAAUAACCAAAAAGAAGGG